AAAGUCGUAACAAGGUUUCCGUAGGUGAACCUGCGGAAGGAUCAUUAUAGUAUAUGGAAUCUCCAUUCUAUAAACACCAUCUGUGUAUUUUUUACCUGUUGCUUCCAUGGGCCUUGAGCCUCGCGUUUGCAUCGGCUGAAUGGCUGGUGAGCGCCCAUGGAAGGAAAACAAUAACUCUCUUUUAUGUGAAUUAAGUCUGAACAUGUUUUAUAUAAACGUUAAAACUUUCAACAACGGAUCUCUUGGUUCUC
This 251-nucleotide unclassified non-coding RNA is filed under the name Ascomycota sp. RNAcentral describes it as "partial contains small subunit ribosomal RNA, internal transcribed spacer 1, and 5.8S ribosomal RNA". The stretch from base 1 to 47 matches the Rfam family "Eukaryotic small subunit ribosomal RNA", at positions 1785 to 1831 of the family's 1831-position model. The record is from RNAcentral. Lineage: Eukaryota; Fungi; Ascomycota.